GGCCUUGAUCAUAUCUUGGCUUGUCAUUAUUAUCUAUUUACUGUGAACUGUAUUAUUAUUUGACGUUUGAGGGAUGUUCCAAUGUUAUAAGGAUAGACAUUGGAGAUGCUAACCGAGUCAUAAUCAGGUUUAGGCCUGGUAUCCUAUUAUUAUUUACCAAAUGAAUUCAGAAUUAAUAUUGUAACAUAGACCUAAAAAAUCUAUAAAACAACUUUUAACAACGGAUCUCUUGGUUCUCGCAUCGAUGAAGAACGUAGCAAAGUGCGAUAACUAGUGUGAAUUGCAUAUUCAGUGAAUCAUCGAGUCUUUGAACGCAACUUGCGCUCAUUGGUAUUCCAAUGAGCACGCCUGUUUCAGUAUCAAAACAAACCCUCUAUCCAACUUUUGUUGUAUAGGAUUAUUGGGGGCCUCUCGAUCUGUAUAGAUCUUGAAACCCUUGAAAUUUACUAAGGCCUGAACUUGUUUAAUGCCUGAACUUUUUUUUAAUAUAAAGGAAAGCUCUUGUAAUUGACUUUGAUGGGGCCUCCCAAAUAAAUCUUUUUUAAAUUUGAUCUGAAAUCAGGUGGGAUUACCCGCUGAACUUAAGCAUAUCAAUAAGCGGAGGA
This 605-nucleotide small RNA is filed under the name uncultured Mucor. RNAcentral describes it as "eukaryotic LSU rRNA". The stretch from base 210 to 362 matches the Rfam family "5.8S ribosomal RNA". The record is from RNAcentral. Lineage: Eukaryota; Fungi; Mucoromycota; Mucoromycetes; Mucorales; Mucoraceae.